This 744-nucleotide long non-coding RNA is filed under the name Equus caballus (horse). RNAcentral's name for it is "lncRNA (ENSECAG00000050834.1)". Lineage: Eukaryota; Metazoa; Chordata; Mammalia; Perissodactyla; Equidae. The record is from RNAcentral.
GUAACACUAAUUGCCUCUGAAAACAGGGUCUAUAGGUUGGAUGUGGCUCUGCUAGGCUUAACUGGAAUCAGUUGGGCUUGACUUCAGGCUGCUGGUUGGGUUCAAGCCUGUUCCAUAUAUUUCCUCAUUCUUCUUGGACCAGUGGCUACCUGGAACAUGUUCUUCCCCCGGAGGGUCACUGGAGUCCAAGAGAGAAGAUUAGCCCCAAGCUAACAUCUGCUGCCAAUCCUCCUGUCUUUGCUGAGGAAGACUGGCCCUGAGCUAACAUCCGUGCCCAUCUUCCACUACUUUAUAUGUGGGAUGCCUACCACAGCAUGGCUUGCCAAGCAGUGCCAUGUCCGCACCUGGGAUCUGAACCAGCGAACCCUGGACCGCUGAAGCAGAACGUGCACACUUAACCACUGGGCCACUUGGCUGGCCCCUAAAGAGUCAUAUAGGAAGGAGGUAGAUGUAGAAUUCCAAUACAGGAAGGCCGUGAAGUAUUGGGAAUAAUGAUUCAAGCUAUCACACCAUUUUUAAAGAGCUCAUUGUGCUCCUUAAUGGCUCAAGAAUAAUGACUCUGGGUAAAUGCAAUCCAAGAUGCAAAAUCUCUGGUCCAUAAACAACUUUAUCCUGCUGAACUGGUAACCUCAGUUUCCUUGGGUUGGUAAAGACUGAGGCAAUGAAGUAAAUCAAUCACUUAUUUGAAUAAUCUGUAUAUAUUUGCUAUUUAUUUGGGGGAAAGGGGAGCAAGAUAAGUGGCAG